GACAGAGGGUGCAAACGUUGCUCGGAAUCACUGGGCGUAUAGGGCGUGUAGGCGGGAAGGAAAGUCAGAUGUGAAAUCCCUGGGCUUAACCUAGGAACUGCAUUUGUGACUGCAUUGCUAGAGUGUGGUAGAGGGAGAUGGAAUUCCGCAUGUAGCAGUGAAAUGCGUAGAUAUGCGGAGGAACACCAAUGGCGAAGGCAAUCUCCUGGACCUGCACUGACGCUCAUGCACGAAAGCGUGGGGAGCAAACAGG
RNAcentral lists this ribosomal RNA (253 nucleotides) under uncultured bacterium. Its description in RNAcentral is "partial 16S ribosomal RNA". It matches the Rfam family "Bacterial small subunit ribosomal RNA", at positions 524 to 776 of the family's 1533-position model. The record is from RNAcentral.